Molecule: ribosomal RNA, 357 nt
Filed under: Triticum aestivum (bread wheat)
Lineage: Eukaryota; Viridiplantae; Streptophyta; Magnoliopsida; Poales; Poaceae
Description: partial small subunit ribosomal RNA
Source: RNAcentral
AUGUGUUUGUCAGUUAAAUCAUUUAGUCUUCUUCAGUUUCUUUUCAAGUUAUCAGUUGAUCAGUUUCAUAUUCUUCUCGGUUUCUUUUUCUUCUUCUCAUUUUUAGUUUUCUCACUCACUUCAUUUCUUCUUCAGUUUUAUCAGUUUCUUAGCUCCUCGUCAUUUCAAUUGUUUAGUUUAUCAAUUUCUGUAGUUUCUUCAUCAGUUUGUCAGAUUAGUAUUUUCUUAUUCAUUUCUCUAUUCUUCUCUAGUCCUCUUCUUUCUUUUAAGUUGUGUAUCAGUAUUAAGUUUUCAUUGAAAUUCAUUAUUCUGUUCCUCUGUUUUGAGAUUGCAUGUCCCUUUGCUCAGCUAAAUUAG